CUCGUGGCGCUGGCAUGUUACGUGCCCGCUGCUAUCAAGGCAACCUACUCGGAUAACCAUAGUAAUUCUAGAGCUAAUACGUGCAACAAACCCCGACUUCUGGGAGGGGCGCAUUUAUUAGAUAAAAGGCUGACGCUGGCUCUGCUCGCUGAUCCGAUGAUUCAAGAUAAAUCGACGAAUCGGACGGCCUUCGUGCCGGCGACGCAUCAUUCAAAUUUCUGCCCUAUCGUAUUUCGAUGGUAGGAUAGGGUCCUACCAUGGUGGUGACGGGUGAUGGAGAAUUAGGGUUCGAUUUCGGAG
RNAcentral lists this ribosomal RNA (300 nucleotides) under Triticum aestivum (bread wheat). RNAcentral describes it as "rRNA SSU_rRNA_eukarya". It matches the Rfam family "Eukaryotic small subunit ribosomal RNA", at positions 118 to 388 of the family's 1831-position model. RNAcentral also lists the same sequence under 1 other name. Lineage: Eukaryota; Viridiplantae; Streptophyta; Magnoliopsida; Poales; Poaceae. The record is from RNAcentral.